This 52-nucleotide non-coding RNA is filed under the name unclassified sequences. The record is from Rfam.
CGACCGUUCCCCAGGGAACCGAGGCCAUACGGACAGCCGGGUCGAAUGCCGA